Molecule: non-coding RNA, 154 nt
Organism: Cajanus cajan (pigeon pea)
Lineage: Eukaryota; Viridiplantae; Streptophyta; Magnoliopsida; Fabales; Fabaceae
Source: RefSeq, a predicted model, not a curated record
CUGUUGUUCCCUUGGUUGCUCAGUUAGGUUUUGGACUUUAUGAGUUAGGCUUUCCAGUGCUUGCAAAAUGUGUGGAGAUUGGGCUGCCAGAAAUUGUAAUCUUACUAGUAUUUUCACAGUACAUUCCUCACGUGAUGAAAGGAGAAAAGCCUAU